This 774-nucleotide ribosomal RNA is filed under the name uncultured Neocallimastigales. RNAcentral's name for it is "partial large subunit ribosomal RNA". It matches the Rfam family "Eukaryotic large subunit ribosomal RNA", at positions 18 to 644 of the family's 3401-position model. The record is from RNAcentral. Lineage: Eukaryota; Fungi; Neocallimastigomycota; Neocallimastigomycetes; Neocallimastigales.
UCAGACGAUGCGUCAUGCAUAUCAAUAAGCGGAGGAAAAGAAACUAACAAGGAUUCCCCUAGUAACGGCGAGUGAAGCGGGAAGAGCUCAAAUCUGAAAUCUUAAAGGGUUUCCCUUUACGAAUUGUAGUUUAAAGAAGUGUUUUCUGUUGAGGUUUUGGUAAAAGUUCUUUGGAAUAGGACAUCAUAGAGGGUGAGAAUCCCGUAUUUGACCUUUACUUUCAACUUUGUGAUACACUUUCAAAGAGUCGGAUUGUUUGGGAAUGCAGUCCAAAAUGGGUGGUAAAUUUCAUCUAAAGCUAAAUAUUGGCGAGAGACCGAUAGCGAACAAGUACCGUGAGGGAAAGAUGAAAAGAACUUUGAAAAGAGAGUUAAACAGUACGUGAAAUUGUCAAAAGGGAAGCGUUUGACACCAGUGUUGUUUUUCUGAAAAUCAAUUAAAGAACUGUUUAUGCUAAGCUGUUUAGACUUUAUCAGCUAUCUGUUUAGUUUUGAGCUUUUCUUUAAUGCACUUUUCAGUUAACAAGUCAACAUCAAUUUCUUUUGCUGUAAAAAAGCUUGAGGAAGGUGGCUUGAGAUUCGUCUUAAGUGUUUAUAGCCUCUUGCCUAUGCAGUCGGAGAGAUUGAGGUCUGCAGCGUAGAUCCUUCGGGGCUAAAUGUAUUUGUGCUAAGUUAUAGCAUUUUAUAGACAACUUGUUAACUAUGAUUUGUCUUGUAGCUUACUCGCUUAUGUUAUUUUACCUACGCUUAGGAUGUUGAAUCUGUGCGAGACUAC